AUUGAACGCUGGCGGCAGGCCUAACACAUGCAAGUCGAGCGGAUGAAGGGAGCUUGCUCCUGGAUUCAGCGGCGGACGGGUGAGUAAUGCCUAGGAAUCUGCCUGGUAGUGGGGGAUAACGUCCGGAAACGGGCGCUAAUACCGCAUACGUCCUGAGGGAGAAAGUGGGGGAUCUUCGGACCUCACGCUAUCAGAUGAGCCUAGGUCGGAUUAGCUAGUUGGUGGGGUAAAGGCCUACCAAGGCGACGAUCCGUAACUGGUCUGAGAGGAUGAUCAGUCACACUGGAACGGAGACACGGUCCAGACUACUACGGGAGGCAGCAGUGGGGAAUAUUGGACAAUGGGCGAAAGCCUGAUCCAGCCAUGCCGCGUGUGUGAAGAAGGUCUUCGGAUUGUAAAGAACUUUAAGUUGGGAGGAAGGGCAGUAAGUUAAUACCUUGCUGUUUUGACGUUACCAACAGAAUAAGCACCGGCUAACUUCGUG
RNAcentral lists this ribosomal RNA (484 nucleotides) under uncultured bacterium. RNAcentral describes it as "partial 16S ribosomal RNA". It matches the Rfam family "Bacterial small subunit ribosomal RNA", at positions 30 to 507 of the family's 1533-position model. The record is from RNAcentral.